AUUCCUGUAGCUAAGUAAAGUGAGUGACUCUUAAUCUCUCGAUGCAGGUUUACUGUCGGGAAUG
Molecule: transfer RNA, 64 nt
Filed under: Sanguinolaria ovalis
Lineage: Eukaryota; Metazoa; Mollusca; Bivalvia; Cardiida; Psammobiidae
Description: tRNA-Lys
Rfam family: tRNA
About the family: Transfer RNA (tRNA) molecules are approximately 80 nucleotides in length. Their secondary structure includes four short double-helical elements and three loops (D, anti-codon, and T loops).
Source: RNAcentral